AUGGCGACCACGGCAGCCGACGCCACGGCCGCGGCGCCCAAGGAGCAGCCCGCCAGCACCGGCGGCGAGCAGGUCACGCGUCACUCCGAGGUCGGCCACAAGAGCCUGCUCCAGAGCGACGCCCUCUACCAGUACAUCCUGGAGACGAGCGUGUACCCGCGCGAGCACGAGUGCAUGAAGGAGCUCCGCGAGAUCACCGCCAACCACCCAUGGAACCUGAUGACGACGUCGGCGGACGAGGGCCAGUUCCUCAACAUGCUGCUCAAGCUCAUCGGCGCCAAGAAGACCAUGGAGAUCGGCGUCUACACCGGCUACUCCCUCCUCGCCACCGCGCUCGCCAUCCCUGAAGACGGCACCAUCUUGGCCAUGGACAUCAACCGCGAGAACUACGAGCUGGGGCUGCCGUGCAUCGAGAAGGCCGGCGUGGCGCACAAGAUCGACUUCCGCGAGGGCCCGGCGCUCCCGGUGCUGGACGCGCUGCUGGAGGACGAGGCCAACCACGGCACCUUCGACUUCGUCUUCGUGGACGCCGACAAGGACAACUACCUCAACUACCACGAGCGCCUCAUGAAGCUCGUCAAGGUCGGCGGCCUCCUCGGCUACGACAACACCCUCUGGAACGGCUCCGUCGUGCUCCCCGCCGACGCCCCCAUGCGCAAGUACAUCCGCUACUACCGCGACUUCGUCCUCGACCUCAACAAGGCCCUCGCCGCCGACCAGCGCGUCGAGAUCUGCCAGCUCCCCGUCGGCGACGGCAUCACCCUCUGCCGCCGCGCCAAGUGA
This 783-nucleotide ribosomal RNA is filed under the name Triticum aestivum (bread wheat). RNAcentral's name for it is "partial small subunit ribosomal RNA". The record is from RNAcentral. Lineage: Eukaryota; Viridiplantae; Streptophyta; Magnoliopsida; Poales; Poaceae.